Molecule: long non-coding RNA, 865 nt
Organism: Lolium rigidum
Lineage: Eukaryota; Viridiplantae; Streptophyta; Magnoliopsida; Poales; Poaceae
Exons: 3
Source: RefSeq, a predicted model, not a curated record
CAUGUCCAGCAUAUAACCCUAUUAUUUUUCAGGGACACCACAUCUCUCUAUCCCGACCUGGACUCCCGUCUCACUCGGCGAAUCCGUGGUCGUCUAUUUCAUGAGAUCUUGGAUUCUACCUGCCUGUACCACCUACAUGGUUCUGUGACGUAUUGCAGUUUCCCGUCUGACGCACUGCCAAGUUGCUCUCCUCUGCCUAAUUGGGUUUGGCAUGGUCGGCAUGAUCAGAGCAAUACAGGAUGAACUAUUGCACAUAUUUUUGUCGAGAUUGUUUUUUUUUUCCGAGAUUGUUCUAUUGCACAUAUGAAGGAACGAUACACAAGGAAAGGAAAAGGAGAGGCUCACUUCUAUCUUAUGAGAGAGGUAGAAGUACAAGACUGCUGGACUUUCUACCAAGAAUAUUGAACUGAAGAUGCUCCUGCAGAACAUGGAGCAACAUGUACAAUUGCAAGCUCUCAACCAUCCCUAAAAUGGGAUUUCUAACUCCUGCAAAUGUGCAGCAACGUCGGAGAGGUGAAGCAGUUCAUUGUUCUUCCGUGCGCAUAGACUAUUUUGCUGUUGUUCACUAAGGCACGUUGAGCAAGGAGAGCAGAGGGAGAUGACAUGGUCAGCCAUAACACCACACUAUCCUUGAUGGACAGCUAAGAUGGUUCAGGUGGUGGAGCUUUCAGGCUGCACCCAUCCUGCAUAUUGUGUUCUUGGAAAACGAUACAGCAAGUGUCCUGGUUGAUCAUGAUCCAUGAGAAUUCAAAAGGAAAAAAAGUACUCGGUUGGUGAAAUAAUAGUACUUCAUCCAUUCUUCUUCAAUGAUAACCUUAUCAAUGACAUUGAAUUUCUCGGGCAAUGAAGAGAAAAGACUGCAUUC